Molecule: long non-coding RNA, 1772 nt
Organism: Bos taurus (domestic cattle)
Lineage: Eukaryota; Metazoa; Chordata; Mammalia; Artiodactyla; Bovidae
Source: Ensembl
GCUUUGCCAAGAGGGGAGUAAAAGGGUCUAGGAAAAUCUCUCAAGUAGGAUUCCCUGAAGAAUCCCAUCAGUCUGGGGAUCCUGUCUAGACUUUAGAUUGGAGCAGAGAUGAACUGUGAAGGCACAGACCAAGCUAGAACCAUGUAACUCAGAGUGUGGUCCUUGGAGCAGCAGCAUCCUGGAAGCUUGUUGAAAAGCAGAACCACACACUGUAUUCUGGAAUUAGUGAACCAUAGUCUCCCUGUUUAACAAAAGCCUCGGGUCAUUCGUACAUCUUAAAGUCGGAAGGGCUCUACCCUGGAGGUAUCUUCUCUAAGUGAGAACUGAAGACAAGUGGGACAGCUGGAUCAUUAACUUCAGCUUCCCAUCCCUCUAGUUCCUCCUCCUCCUCGUCACUUUCCUGGGCCAUAAGGGUUACCCUUCAAGGUAGAGGCCUGGAGUGAUUCCAAAGACCAAAGUAAGUGCUGCAACCUCCCCAAAUUCCAGCAGCCUCCCCAAAUUUGUCAGGGGGAGGUGACCUGAAUUCUCUUAAGAUAAAACUGGAGAAAAGGCACAGACUUCCAAGAAUCCCGUAUUCUUCAAUACUUUUUAAGUUGCAAUAGCAAAAACUUCCAGUUCAAAUAAGAGUAAGCAACAAAAAGAAUUUACCAGUUCAUUUAACUGAAAAGUGAGGGUGUGGAGCAACUGCAGGCACAGCUGGGUCUAUUUAAAUCAGCUAGGAAAGAUUGAGGGCAAAAGGAAAAGAGGGCAGCAGAGUGUGGGAUGGUUAGAUAGCAACGCAUGGAGUUGCAGUCUGUGGGGCCGUGUUAUAGAAAGCUGCCUCUGCCUUUUCAGCAUCUGUUUUUCUCUGUGUUGGCUUCUUUCUCUGGAAGCUUCAUUCAUAACCGUCAAUAAUGAAAGGGCAGAAGGAGGAACUGACAAGGACUAAGUACAGCACUGGAGGGCCCUGCUGUUCUAGGCUGUUGAUGGAGUUGGAUACCAAAACCCUACUCUCAUUUUGCUACCAAAAGGAAUUAUGUUGUGUCCUCACCUUUAAAUGCACUGUUCUGGAAGUUCUGCAGCAGGAAUGCCUUGGUUUAGAUGUUGACAGGAGCCCAGCGAUUUACUUCACAUCCAUUUGGGUACUUUUCGAGGCAGAUAGGUGCAGAGCCAAAAAACACCACCUAGGGACUUCCCUGGUGCUUCAGCGGUUGCUGAAGCUUAAGCUCGAAUAAUUUAGCCACCUGCUGUGAAGAGUGGACUCACUGGAAAAGACUCUGAGGCUAGGAAAGAUUGAGGGCAAAAGGAGAAGAGAGCGGCAAAGUGUGAGAUGGUUAGAUAGCAACACCAACUCAGUGGACAUGAACUUGAGCAAACUCCAGGGCACAGUGGAGGACAGAGAAGCCUGGUGUGCUGCAGUCCAUGGGUCGCAAAGAGUCGGACACGACUGAGCGACUAUAAACAACAACAACCAGUGGUUAAGACUCCGCCUUGCAAUGCAGAGGACUUUGGUUCAAUCCCUGGUCUGGGAACUAAGAUUCCACACGCUACAGAGUAACUAAACCAACACGCCACACUACUAAGCCCUGAAGCCACAGAGAGUCCAUGCACCACAGUGGAAGAUCCUGCAUGAUGCGACAAAGAGCCCGCGUGCCACAACGAAGACGGGAUGCAACUGAAUACUUUUUUUCUUUUUUUUCUUAAUUAAUUUCUUUUUUAACUGAAGGAUAAUUGUUUUACAGACUUUUGUUGUUUUCUGUCAAACAUCAAAAUGAAUCGGCCAUAGGCAUACA